RNAcentral lists this ribosomal RNA (233 nucleotides) under Vibrio parahaemolyticus. RNAcentral describes it as "partial 16S ribosomal RNA". It matches the Rfam family "Bacterial small subunit ribosomal RNA", at positions 326 to 551 of the family's 1533-position model. Lineage: Bacteria; Pseudomonadati; Pseudomonadota; Gammaproteobacteria; Vibrionales; Vibrionaceae. The record is from RNAcentral.
ACGGUCCAGACUCCUACGGGAGGCAGCAGUGGGGAAUAUUGCACAAUGGGCGCAAGCCUGAUGCAGCCAUGCCGCGUGUGUGAAGAAGGCCUUCGGGUUGUAAAGCACUUUCAGUCGUGAGGAAGGUGGUAGUGUUAAUAGCACUAUCAUUUGACGUUAGCGACAGAAGAAGCACCGGCUAACUCCGUGCCAGCAGCCGCGGUAAUACGGAGGGUGCGAGCGUUAAUCGGAAU